GUUUGUCUGCAUUUUUGACUACACAAAGUGCUGGCAACAUUUGUGUGUUGAAGUUGCCUUUUUUCAGCUAAAAAGGCUUCCAAACCAAUAGAUUUGUAGUAAAAAAAAGAACAAGCCAUUAAACUACAAUAUACAGAAUGCCUGAGGUUUUGCUCAAAGUUAAGAAGCGAAGCUUUUAGGGUUGGACUUCAGUGCUACUGAAGUAAGAAAUUUUUCCACUAAGUCGAAACAAGUAAAACAAGAGCCGUUUCAAGUGAAACAAUUUAAAACACGAAGGAGGGGGUACAUAUCUGGAUGCAUAACAUGAAGAAGAAGAGAUGGACUAGAGGACUGAAGGAUGAAAUGAAUGUGAAAAUGUAGUCAUGGACUACAUUUAUUUGCAUCCACACGAAACAAGCUGCAAGACCAUUAACAAGUCAACUGUGAGUUUUCCUUCAGAGAACAGCCUUAACAAGUCCCUAAAACGAUUGAUUCUAAAUUGACUUUCAAUUAUUUUUUUCAGCAGGGUAUGCAAUUACCGGAAAGUUCCGCGCUUUCUUUUUUUCAAAUCAUGCUAGCUAAGGCUGUUAUGAUAAACUCUGAUUUUAUUUCUACUGUAGAUAGUGUUAGGCAGAGGGAUGUAUGCAUUCUUACUCGAAUGGAAUGCUGAUAAAA
Molecule: long non-coding RNA, 654 nt
Organism: Nematostella vectensis (starlet sea anemone)
Lineage: Eukaryota; Metazoa; Cnidaria; Anthozoa; Actiniaria; Edwardsiidae
Exons: 4
Source: RefSeq, a predicted model, not a curated record